AGCAGCCGCCGCGGUAAUACAGAGGGUGCGAGCGUUAAUCGGAUUUACUGGGCGUAAAGCGUGCGUAGGCGGCCUUUUAAGUCGGAUGUGAAAUCCCUGAGCUUAACUUAGGAAUUGCAUUCGAUACUGGGAAGCUAGAGUAUGGGAGAGGAUGGUAGAAUUCCAGGUGUAGCGGUGAAAUGCGUAGAGAUCUGGAGGAAUACCGAUGGCGAAGGCAGCCAUCUGGCCUAAUACUGACGCUGAGGUACGAAAGCAUGGGGAGCAAACAGGAUUAGAUACCCCUGUAGUCCCUGUCUCUUAUAC
RNAcentral lists this ribosomal RNA (303 nucleotides) under uncultured bacterium. Its description in RNAcentral is "partial 16S ribosomal RNA". It matches the Rfam family "Bacterial small subunit ribosomal RNA", at positions 507 to 807 of the family's 1533-position model. The record is from RNAcentral.